AGUUUAUAUUUGAACGGACCCGUGGACUCUCUGGGAAUUAACACAGGAUCGUACAUGAGUUUUCUAUAUAUUAAAACACAUAAAGAUCCAAUCGUUAUAAGACCAAUAGUGGAGAAGCUCACGGCACCUACUUACAAUCUUGAGAAGAAAUUAGCAAAAUAGACCAUGCAAUAUUAGAUCACUCAGAUGACUCUACCAAUUGCACUAUGCAAGCCUUAGAAAGAAUCAAGAAUAUCGUUUGGGAGGAAGGCGACCAGGUUGUAACCUAUGAUUUUGAGAACAUGUUCCCCUCCCUAAAAUUAGAACCAGCAUGCCUUGCUUUAUACUGUUUUUUAUUAGCCAAUACAGCAGAUCAACAAGUUAAUCCAGCUAUCCUUAGAGAUCUCACAUAUAUCAUAAUAAAAAAAAUCAUAUUUUACAUUUAAUGAUAAGUUAUCAGCAGAAUACUGACGUGCCUAUUGGAAGCGCCAUGGCAGGCCCCGUUGCAGAAUUAACCUUAAGAGAAGUAGAAGCGAAAGUACUAAGUGGACUGCGAAUUAAUCCUAAAUGUUAUCUUAGGUAUGUCAAUGACGUCUUUACUGUUUGG
This 586-nucleotide long non-coding RNA is filed under the name Androctonus crassicauda. Lineage: Eukaryota; Metazoa; Arthropoda; Arachnida; Scorpiones; Buthidae. The record is from RNAcentral.